RNAcentral lists this transfer RNA (73 nucleotides) under Candidatus Bathyarchaeota archaeon. RNAcentral describes it as "tRNA-Cys". It matches the Rfam family "tRNA". Rfam says of the family: Transfer RNA (tRNA) molecules are approximately 80 nucleotides in length. Their secondary structure includes four short double-helical elements and three loops (D, anti-codon, and T loops). The record is from RNAcentral. Lineage: Archaea; Thermoproteati; Candidatus Bathyarchaeota.
GCCGGGGUGGCCGAGCGGUCUAGGCGGCGGCCUGCAGAGCCGCUUCACGCAGGUUCGAAUCCUGCCCCCGGCU